AUGGGAAGGGGACGAGGGAGGCCACCGAAAAAUCUGGUGCCACCGUCACCUGACAAUCGAAGCAAUCCGAUGAAGAAAUCGGGCACAGUAACACCAAAUGCGAAGGAGGGAAUCAUUCAUGAAUCAAGCUCGGCCACUAGUGGAGGUAAGGAUAAGGAAGACGCAGAAACCCUAGAUCUGGGGGUGGAGGAAAAUUCAAAUGAGGAGAAUGAUUCGCAAAAGGCUAAGAUCCCUAAGGAAGAGAGGAAACUUUGGGUGGAUGUUUUGAAUAAGAAUUGA
This is a non-coding RNA of Vicia faba (fava bean), 279 nucleotides long. NCBI's taxonomy places the organism in Eukaryota, Viridiplantae, Streptophyta, Magnoliopsida, Fabales, Fabaceae. The record is from the annotation of a GenBank genome assembly.